This 429-nucleotide ribosomal RNA is filed under the name Acidobacteriota bacterium. RNAcentral describes it as "Acidobacteria bacterium partial 16S ribosomal RNA". It matches the Rfam family "Bacterial small subunit ribosomal RNA", at positions 355 to 776 of the family's 1533-position model. The record is from RNAcentral. Lineage: Bacteria; Pseudomonadati; Acidobacteriota.
UAGGGAAUCUUCCACAAUGGACGCAAGUCUGAUGGAGCAACGCCGCGUGAGUGAAGAAGGUUGUCGGAUCGUAAAGCUCUGUUGUUGGUGAAGAAGGAUAGAGGUAGUAACUGGCCUUUAUUUGACGGUAAUCAACCAGAAAGUCACGGCUAACUACGUGCCAGCAGCCGCGGUAAUACGUAGGUGGCAAGCGUUGUCCGGAUUUAUUGGGCGUAAAGCGAGCGCAGGCGGAAGAAUAAGUCUGAUGUGAAAGCCCUCGGCUUAACCGAGGAACUGCAUCGGAAACUGUUUUUCUUGAGUGCAGAAGAGGAGAGUGGAAUUCCAUGUGUAGCGGUGGAAUGCGUAGAUAUAUGGAAGAACACCAGUGGCGAAGGCGACUCUCUGGUCUGCAACUGACGCUGAGGCUCGAAAGCAUGGGUAGCGAACAGG